GCGGCCGUGGCCGAAUGGUUAUCGCGCUUGCCUCCCACGCAGCAGGCCAGGGUUCGAUUCCCGGCCGCG
This 69-nucleotide transfer RNA is filed under the name Ixodes scapularis (black-legged tick). RNAcentral's name for it is "tRNA-Gly for anticodon CCC". It matches the Rfam family "tRNA". From Rfam's summary of the family: Transfer RNA (tRNA) molecules are approximately 80 nucleotides in length. Their secondary structure includes four short double-helical elements and three loops (D, anti-codon, and T loops). Lineage: Eukaryota; Metazoa; Arthropoda; Arachnida; Ixodida; Ixodidae. The record is from RNAcentral.